UACGGAGGAUUCGAGCGUUAUCCGGAUUUAUUGGGUUUAAAGGGUGCGUAGGCGGUCGGAUAAGUUAGAGGUGAAAUCCCGGGGCUCAACUUCGGAAUUGCCUCUGAUACUGUUCGGCUAGAGAGUAGUUGCGGUAGGCGGAAUGUAUGGUGUAGCGGUGAAAUGCUUAGAGAUCAUACAGAACACCGAUUGCGAAGGCAGCUUACCAAGCUACUUCUGACGUUGAGGCACGAAAGCGUGGAGAGCAAACAGG
Molecule: ribosomal RNA, 253 nt
Filed under: uncultured bacterium
Lineage: Bacteria
Description: partial 16S ribosomal RNA
Rfam family: Bacterial small subunit ribosomal RNA
Source: RNAcentral